GGACCAUCCUCCAAGGCUAAAUACUCCUGACUGACCGAUAGUGAACCAGUACCGUGAGGGAAAGGCGAAAAGAACCCCGGCGAGGGGAGUGAAAAAGAACCUGAAACCGUGUACGUACAAGCAGUGGGAGCACGCUUAGGCGUGUGACUGCGUACCUUUUGUAUAAUGGGUCAGCGACUUAUAUUCUGUAGCAAGGUUAACCGAAUAGGGGAGCCGAAGGGAAACCGAGUCUUAACUGGGCGUUAAGUUGCAGGGUAUAGACCCGAAACCCGGUGAUCUAGCCAUGGGCAGGUUGAAGGUUGGGUAACACUAACUGGAGGACCGAACCGACUAAUGUUGAAAAAUUAGCGGAUGACUUGUGGCUGGGGGUGAAAGGCCAAUCAAACCGGGAGAUAGCUGGUUCUCCCCGAAAGCUAUUUAGGUAGCGCCUCGUGAAUUCAUCUCCGGGGGUAGAGCACUGUUUCGGCAAGGGGGUCAUCCCGACUUACCAACCCGAUGCAAACUGCGAAUACCGGAGAAUGUUAUCACGGGAGACACACGGCGGGUGCUAACGUCCGUCGUGAAGAGGGAAACAACCCAGACCGCCAGCUAAGGUCCCAAAGUCAUGGUUAAGUGGGAAACGAUGUGGGAAGGCCCAGACAGCCAGGAUGUUGGCUUAGAAGCAGCCAUCAUUUAAAGAAAGCGUAAUAGCUCACUGGUCGAGUCGGCCUGCGCGGAAGAUGUAACGGGGCUAAACCAUGCACCGAAGCUGCGGCAGCGACGCUUAUGCGUUGUUGGGUAGGGGAGCGUUCUGUAAGCCUGUGAAGGUGUGCUGUGAGGCAUGCUGGAGGUAUCAGAAGUGCGAAUGCUGACAUAAGUAACGAUAAAGCGGGUGAAAAGCCCGCUCGCCGGAAGACCAAGGGUUCCUGUCCAACGUUAAUCGGGGCAGGGUGAGUCGACCCCUAAGGCGAGGCCGAAAGGCGUAGUCGAUGGGAAACAGGUUAAUAUUCCUGUACUUGGUGUUACUGCGAAGGGGGGACGGAGAAGGCUAUGUUGGCCGGGCGACGGUUGUCCCGGUUUAAGCGUGUAGGCUGGUUUUCCAGGCAAAUCCGGAAAAUCAAGGCUGAGGCGUGAUGACGAGGCACUACGGUGCUGAAGCAACAAAUGCCCUGCUUCCAGGAAAAGCCUCUAAGCAUCAGGUAACAUCAAAUCGUACCCCAAACCGACACAGGUGGUCAGGUAGAGAAUACCAAGGCGCUUGAGAGAACUCGGGUGAAGGAACUAGGCAAAAUGGUGCCGUAACUUCGGGAGAAGGCACGCUGAUAUGUAGGUGAAGUCCCUCGCGGAUGGAGCUGAAAUCAGUCGAAGAUACCAGCUGGCUGCAACUGUUUAUUAAAAACACAGCACUGUGCAAACACGAAAGUGGACGUAUACGGUGUGACGCCUGCCCGGUGCCGGAAGGUUAAUUGAUGGGGUCAGCGCAAGCGAAGCUCUUGAUCGAAGCCCCGGUAAACGGCGGCCGUAACUAUAACGGUCCUAAGGUAGCGAAAUUCCUUGUCGGGUAAGUUCCGACCUGCACGAAUGGCGUAAUGAUGGCCAGGCUGUCUCCACCCGAGACUCAGUGAAAUUGAACUCGCUGUGAAGAUGCAGUGUACCCGCGGCAAGACGGAAAGACCCCGUGAACCUUUACUAUAGCUUGACACUGAACAUUGAGCCUUGAUGUGUAGGAUAGGUGGGAGGCUUAGAAGUGUGGACGCCAGUCUGCAUGGAGCCGACCUUGAAAUACCACCCUUUAAUGUUUGAUGUUCUAACG
RNAcentral lists this ribosomal RNA (1792 nucleotides) under Escherichia coli. RNAcentral's name for it is "partial 23S ribosomal RNA". It matches the Rfam family "Bacterial large subunit ribosomal RNA", at positions 450 to 2227 of the family's 2925-position model. Lineage: Bacteria; Pseudomonadati; Pseudomonadota; Gammaproteobacteria; Enterobacterales; Enterobacteriaceae. The record is from RNAcentral.